UUAACAGCUGUGGCCACCUGACUUAUCACCUGGAACUGCCGUAUACCAUCCUAUCACAACCGUUUGUGGCACAUGCAAUUGUAAAAACAUAUUGUCAAAGAAUAUGCAGUAACUGCUCUUUUGUUCAGGAUAAUUCUCCAGCAUGUAUUGCAAGAAACAUAACACAAACAUUAAAAAUUGAUUUAAGGAAACACCACAGAGGACACCAUCAUGCUCAUCGGAACCACAAUCCCAAUGUCCAUGAAGAAGACCAACUCCAGCAAAACAGGACAGAUCCUGUGCAGUUGGGGCAUAAUACACAUAAACACCACCAAAAUCAUCACCAUCCCCACCAUCAGUAUGACCAAUCUAAUUCAGAAUCAGAAACGCCUGACAUGGUAGCAGGUAAUGGCUCACCACAACCGUGAAUAAACAAAUCAAACUGUAAGAGAAAGUUCAAGUGAAAGCCUGAAGGUAUGUCAGAGUUAGCAGGAAUCAGAUGAUGAUGAUACUGUCGUCAGCUGUUCAGUGACAAGUCCUCUAAUAACGAGGUGACAUGACACUGCAGGACACAAUCAUCAUCCUGACAAUGACAGGAACAGGGACGUGUAGACAGCCUCAUUGAAUCCUGACAGUGACGCUUGAUCCCUGCUCUCUGACCACAAGAUCAGAUGAGCCAAAGGCACUGAGGACCUUGACAAGGAGUUAAAAGCAGAGAAUGACGAGAUGGGUUGAAGUAAACACUUCAGUUGGAAUGUAAACUGCUGUCUAUUUUCGUAAAGCUUUGAAACUCCAUGUUGAAAUUUAGCUGUAAGGUUCAGUCCAACCCCUCUUUUCCAUCUUGAGGGCUGAUUUGCUGCCAAACCAUACUCUGAGGCUGAUCAGUAUAAGGUACCGAUUAGUCCUUUUCACUGUUGCUUGUUGUCCCAAUCCUUGUGGUUGCCACUAUGAGGACAGCAGCACAAACUAUCCUGUAGGAGCUGCUAUUUGAUGUAAGGCAAAUGCAAAGGGAAGAUAAGUGAAGUUGAGAAGCUAAUCUGCAUUAUAUCCAACAACGUUUUAACCAGUUUGAUGUGUUGGUACUCUCAAUGCAUCAUAUUUUUUCCCACAAAAAUUUUGAGAUAAAAGAUUCUCCUACGUUUUAUCUUCCUCUGAUUUUUUCAUUUCAGUUAUAACAAGUAAGAACAUUUUAAAGAGAAAUUAGCAAAUAAUUCCUCAAUUUUUUUGUAAUUAAAUACAGCCAGUGCAAACAGGAGGUUGGGGGUCAUAAACAGACAAGUUGCAAUCCCAAUUCACACCUACUCUCCUCUCUAAUUCAAAAUGUGGAUAACAAAGACAUCCUGUAUUAAAAUUAGGGAGUAUUAGCUUUUAGUGUUAAGAGAAAACCUGAUUAUGUAGAAAUGAAAGAUCAUUUGGAAGCAAACACCAUAUUUCAUGAUGGUUACCAGGGAAACCACUUACCCUAGUUCACCUGAAUUCCUGUAUGGUAAAUGUUAGCAAAUUAGAUUCUCUGGAAAGUCUGUAGUGCACUGGAAGUGUUCUGUAAGAAGAUUUUAAUAAACAUUCUGUUUUCAAUAA
Long non-coding RNA from Rhincodon typus (whale shark), 1557 nucleotides. RefSeq lists it as uncharacterized. Lineage: Eukaryota; Metazoa; Chordata; Chondrichthyes; Orectolobiformes; Rhincodontidae. The transcript has 2 exons. The record is from RefSeq and is a predicted model, not a curated record.